This 1988-nucleotide long non-coding RNA is filed under the name Numida meleagris (helmeted guineafowl). RNAcentral describes it as "lncRNA (ENSNMEG00000001808.1)". The record is from RNAcentral. Lineage: Eukaryota; Metazoa; Chordata; Aves; Galliformes; Numididae.
UGGAGAGAAUAGAAAUCUAGGAUUGGUGGAAAAAGUCAGAAGAUGAAGGUAAGGAGAAGCAGUCUGUAGAAAAUAAUUCAGGAAGAAGUUACAAAAGUGUCAUGAUAGUUGUUUCAGGCACAGUGCAGGAGAGGAAGAUAAGGUGAAAGGAAUAGCAGAGAAGAAUGAAUGCAGGUGUGUCACUUGCCUGGUGCUAUCCUGCAUUAGGCGCUCCCUUUUCAGGAGCAGAAGUAAUAGCACAGUGCAUUGCAGCAGAACAUAGAAGGAGAGCAGCACCCAUUGCACAGCUGGGGCUGCACAACGGCUACAGGUCCUUCAGGGGGGCAAAGGAAACUGCCCAUGGGCAGGGAUGGCUGGAGUGACAGCGGGCAGGAGGGAUGAAGAGGAGGGCAGUGAGGAGCUAGGGGAAGCUUCUGUGGGUCAUGGAGAUAGAAGUUUGGCCCUGAGAGGAGAAUUACAAAAUGUUUUGGAGAACGAGGCUUUGAGGCUGACGGUGUUGGGUAGGAAGGAACGGUUUGAAUGAAAGCCCCAACUCAGGAAAAUGGGAAGGGGGAGAAGGAGCUGGAAGAGGGACUGUUAAGUUGCUAGUAGAGUGAGCUGAAGGCAAAAGGAAGGGAUGUAGAUGAGCAAGGGCUGCAGAAGGUGUCAACAGGACGCCCAAGGAUAAAUACAGUUUUGCCUCACCGUGCCCUUCCCAUCCUGUUUUUCUCUCAUCGAAAAAAACCUAUCUCGGCAUCAUCCUCUGUUUUCUAACUUUGAACAAAGCUAGCCCUACCGUGGUGGGUGCGUGUAGCUCCUAAGUAUCAAUUCCUGCUCACUUCCUCAAGUUCUUAAGAAGAAAGAAAAAAGAAAAAAAAGCGUGAGCUGUGCUUGAAGCAUCUUUGAAGCCCGGUCAGCCCGCUCCGACCGGGCUGGGGGACGGGGGCGGCCCGCGGCGCGCACCCAGCCCGGGCGGACACACGCUCCCGCGUGCAGACAAAGGGCGGGGGCACCCCCGGCCCCGACGUGCGGCUCCGUCCCGGAGCCGGGGGGGAAGGGAGGGGGGGGGGGGGGGGAAGAAGGCGGGCCAGCGGGGGGGGGGGGGGGGGGGGGGGGGGGGGGGGGGACAGAAAGUUCGGCAUCGACGGGGCGGGAGGUGGGGGCGCUGCCCCGCGCCUUUGUUCAGCAGGGAGAGGACCCGCGGCGGAGCCGAGCCGACCGCGCAGAUGGGCACGCACCCGGCAGCGCGGCCCUGCGCCCGUGGGACGAGGGGGAGGAGGGAGGCAGAAGGUUCCCCUUGCAGCCUCCCCCACUCUUUCCCUCCCUCCAAGGUGAAAACAUGGCCGUCAGGAGAAUGGAAUCCUUCCAAAAUGUUGAUCUGUGCCAAGUGCCAUACUGCAUUAUCCUUCCAGUGGUGGAAUACAACUUGGGUCUCCUCAGGAGGUGACUGAUGUGGAACAAGCUGUACCACGCAGCCAUGGUGUGAAGACCUGAUGUCUUCACUGUUUGGAUACGUCUGUAAGUUAACGGACUACUGGGAGAAGAUGAAGAGGCUUUUGCAGAAAUCUGAGGAUAUUGUGGGAAAUGUUGCUGCAAACCAUUUGGAUUAUAUUGCUGUCUGACAUGGAGGUUCUGCAGAUGACGUAAGGUAUGCUUCUCCCUGACUGUUGCAAAAACACUUGUCUCAUAUAUAAAAAUACUAAGCACACUGUCUCAGUAAACUCACUUUUUAACUUAAUUUUUACUGUCUUUCCCUUGGUGUUGAGGCCUACAACAGUUUUGAGAAAUGCCUUACUAAUCGUUUGGCAAUGUGCAUAUCUGAGAUGUCGAAAGAACAACUGAGCAUAAAAAUAUUUAUAUUUUUAGAGUUAGCCGAUGUUUUUAGGGUAAUUACUUCAUUGGAUCUAAGGAGCGCUUAGCAUCUCUAGAGAAAAUUGGACUAAUUGACUUUCCUUAAAAAUAAGUUAAAAACAGUUUAAAUAAAGCAUUUCCACAGCUGCCGUCUUCCA